Trematomus bernacchii (emerald rockcod) is the source of this 485-nucleotide long non-coding RNA. RefSeq lists it as uncharacterized. The transcript has 3 exons. The record is from RefSeq and is a predicted model, not a curated record. Lineage: Eukaryota; Metazoa; Chordata; Actinopteri; Perciformes; Nototheniidae.
GUCUAUGCUGGUGAAGCUGGUCUAUCAGCAGUCUUGCUAGCGAAACUGAAAUAGACACAGACAGACAGAGAGGGCGGGACACGGGGGAACGGCGAGACGGCAGUGGUUGAUACAAAGCGGUAUGUUUUGACUGGCACUAACGGUCGAGGAGUGAAGAUCAGUUGAACGUUUCUGUGACUCCGCCCAGCGGCUGCUCUUCUGAGAGGCACCGCUCUGACAGCUCUGUCUACUGGGAAACGUGCUAAAAGUCCUUCUGGAGGUAAGCAACACUACACAAUUUCACCAAGUCUGAGAGUAAAAGCUUUCUCGAAGGCUUUGCAUUUGAACCCUUAUGACUGGUUGCGGACUUGAAGGGAACGCCUUCCUGACAUCCAGGAAAAAAUUUUAUUGGACAGUAGAGAUCUACUGGAAACAGUGGAGAGGGAGGAGAUGAUAUGCAGCAAAAGGCCGAGCCGGAUGGUUGCUGCUCCAUGUGGAACGUGUUC